RNAcentral lists this long non-coding RNA (6314 nucleotides) under Zea mays. Its description in RNAcentral is "long non-coding RNA (ZMAY_LNC002797)". Lineage: Eukaryota; Viridiplantae; Streptophyta; Magnoliopsida; Poales; Poaceae. The record is from RNAcentral.
CUGCAAUCAAUUGGAUUAUGCGUUUAUCUUUGCGAAUCGGUAGAGGUGCUGUCCAGGAAUUUUGUGAGUGGGUGAACAGCAGUAGUUAUAGGGAUUUAUGGGAAUUUUCGUGGGUUAAUUAGUGGGAAUCAGUGGAAUAAUCAUGUAGAGCUUUGUCAUACCUUUCCAACGAGUACUUAUGCGCUCGAUUCGGAGUUAUAAUUUAGGAGAUAUCAUUGUUUGAAUCCGGAUAUGUUGCUGUCCAAAAAAAAACAGAUUUUUCAGGUGGGUGAACAGCAGUAGUAUUAGCAGUUUCUGGGAAUUUGUUGUAUGUAAUUAUUGAUGACCAGUAUGAUAAUCAUGUAGGGCUUUGUCUUAUCUUUCCAAUGAGUACUUAUGCGCUUGAUUUGGAAUUAUAUUUUAAAAGAUAUCGCUGUUUGAAUCCGGGUAUGUCGCUGUCCAAAAGAGAAAAAAACAGAUUACAGGGUUUAUCUUGUGGACUGUUUUGGGCUAAUUAGAUGUUGGAAUUUUGUCACCACUGCUGUCAUAAUUUUAAAGUUAUGAAAUUAUUAAGCAGCGCCGCUGCAGUUUGGUGGGUGCGGGGAGAAUUGUUACCCGUGGCGGGGUUUGAGAUUGUGCGUAGGUGCGGCGUCGUUUAUGAGCCUUAUUAUGUGAAAUUGGUGCACUAAGUUGUGUGUCAAAAACAGGUGGUGGACUUCCGGAUCGUACUUAGGGAUUUGCCCAAACUUCCGGUGAAGUCAAGUAAAACAGUGAUGGUUAUUUCGUCUGUCCAAUGAAGAGUCUUAUACUUGAUUAUGUUUGUGUUAUUUGUGUUCGUAUUCAUAUUUCUAAUUGAGUAUCAUCGUUGGAAGAUAUUAAUGUUUUAUUGAUUACAUAUGUUGAGUUUGUGGGUUGAUCAUGUUACCCAUGUAGUCUAUUUAGUGGAAUGGUGUCACACCCGGAUUUUAGGGGUCCAAAACCCGGGCGCAAACAUAAUCACCAGGUGUGCUGGGACCAAGUCUCACACAUAUGAUGAAUCAUGGCACAGGAUCGAAUGUCACAUCUUUACUAUAUAAUAGGAGUUUUGUACAAAAUAAAUAAAUAAUUACAUUAUAAGGAGACAACGGUCCAGCAACCCAAAGUUGACUGGGAGACGACGGCCUAGACCUCUCACGAACACAUCGCAGCAUCCUCCAUGUGUCAUCCUACGGUACCUGUUCUUGACCUGUGGGGGGGGUGUGAGACAGCAAGAGUGAGCUCACAUACGUUCAUCGCUCAACAAGUUGUGGGGAAUAAAGUGCAUGAACUCGCCAAAGGUGGGAGCUCACGUGAAGUGUAAGGCUUACCAAAGAGGAUGGUUAGAGCUGAGCAUUGCUUUUAAAGUUGGUCAAAAUUUUAUUAGCAGUUACUAAGUAUAAGUAAAUACCAACCCAAUUAAGUAGUAGAGCAAAAGUAACAUCAUCACCUGCGAUGCAAUGCAUAUGACAAAUUGAAUUUAGUUCCAUAAAUUAAUCAUCAGAGAGUCCUGAGCUGCUCAUGACCGUGAGCUCGGCUAGUAUACCAGUUUUACACUCUGCAGAGGUGGUACCCUUUACCCACAAGUCAUGUUACCCGUCUGCCAAGGGAUCGCGACUUCCCAUACACCUCUACCGAGGAGGCGAGGCAGGGUAACACUACGAGGCCUUUACAAAGUUCCACUAGCUUCAGAAAACCCGCUACAGUUUAUAGGAAGCUCCAAUGCAGGAAUCCCUUGCAGGACCGCCAUCGCAGCAAAAUCCUCCCGAGGGCCUCCCUACACUGACCACUCCCCUACUGCCCUUGCCCCUUUCGGGUAAGGUAGUCCUCCACUAGCUUUCCUAAUUAAUCAGCCAAGGGCGUCCAUAAACCCUUGUGGUGGCACGUGUUUCUCAAGUUAAGCUCUAUGUUCCAAUUAACAUUUAAUGAUCUUGUCAUGAACAUAAAUAGAAUAACAACAUAAUUGGAACAUAGAUGUAAUGAAAUAUUAACCCAAAACCAUAUAAAGCAGUAGCAGAACUACCCAAGUGAUUCAGGGGUAAACAAGGUAUUCAGGAUGAACAAACUAGGGUGACCUAUUGGGUCCCAUCAAAAUUAACCUAUGCAGAUCAUUAUGAUUAAUCAGAACAUGAGUAGGUAAAAAGAAGUGAUCAAGGGCACAACUUGCCUGACACUUGAGAUUCCAGGUACCAACUUGCUCUUCGGAUGACACGUGUCCUCGCGCUAGUCGUAGCAAUACAAACAAAUAUGGUAUAGAUAAAACUAACAUCACACCAAGCAUAAGUACAAACUGAAUAAUAAUGAUCUACGCGUUUCUACGAGACUAACGCAACUUGAACGGAUCAAAUCAGAGUUAAAACGGGGAAGAUACGAAUUUCCUAAUGUUUUAUGUAUUUGAUAUGGAUUUAAUUAGGAAAUAAAUUUUAAGGUGGCUUUCGUGUCAAAUUAGUGGCACUAUUAGAUAAACAAUAAUAUUAUAAAAUUAUAGGAACUGGAAUGACUCAAUUUGGAAUUAGUAUGAAUUUUCUACGGAUUAAACAAAUUCUAGCCAUUAUUUUUAUAUUAAAAAUCCAUUUUCUAUUUAUUUCCCUGGAUUUUCUAUUUACUGGACUGGGCCUCAAUUACUGGUAAGUUCAGGGGCUAACCCGCAAGAUCUCCAAGACACAGCGCCAUCCGCGCUGGACCGCGGGUUGAAUCUCAAUAAACCCAGGGCCCAUAUGCAAAACAGACCCGACGAAGGGGUAUCAGCCAGAUCUGGCCGUCCGAUCCCCAACAGACGGUGCAGAUUAGAUUUGAAUUUUUCAGAAAGGGUAUGAAAUAUAAGGCCUUGGAUCCAGAUCUAACGGUCUGAGUUUUAUGAAAUCUAAUCCAGAUCCGAACCGCACGAUUGCGAUCCAACCGCCCGAAUUCCGCGGGGUGAAGGUGUACGCAGAAUUUAAUCCACUCCCUCCGUUUAGAAUCCUACGGCCCCGGCUUCUAUAACAUGUCUUCUAAUCCUAACCAGUCAUCGCGAGAUCAAGGGCUCUGCGUUCGUCUUCUUCCUUUCGUCAACCCGGCAGUAGUUGCAAGUGCCAGGAAACCCAGCAUGGUGAACGGUGAGCUAGCUACUCGUCGGUACGGGUCGACGUGCGAAUAUAACUCACGUACUGAGAAAGUAAUGGUGGUUUGCAGGGGAGUUAUCAUACCGUGUUUCACGGCGCAAGUACAGUCGUCUAGAAGUCUGCAGCACGACGGCGAUCCUUCAAUGUCGACAACGAAGCACUCGCACAAUCUUCAACGCUCGGCGAAGAGGCCCGGUCCGCUCCUCAUCGCACGCACAGGAAGUACCUGGACGUCCAGUGCGUGACUUGUCGAACACCCUCUCGGCAACAACACUCACGUUCUCUCUCUUCAUCCUUUGUUUCUCUCGGCGGCUGUGAAUAUGACGGCGCACGCCCGGUGCUUUUCUCCAGGGCGACCGAGACGGCAACUGCCAGGACCAAGAGAUUUAUGGGGGCGCGCAGGGCGGUAGCGCCGGAAAUCCGGUUCUCCGUUUUGGUCGGCGCCCACAUCCCGGAAAUACGCGUAUGCGUAUUCGCAGUGGCCCAGCCGUCAGGGACAGUGAAAGGUAUACGGAUGAGGUCACCUGUGACGCCCGGCCGACGUCACCCACGCAGGAAACUAUUCUUUAUUCGGCUGGAGCGGUCCUCGGCGGGAGAAUAGCUGCAGGAGGAAGCCACCUGGGCCGGCUGUUACGGGGAGGUGGUUACGGCAUGCAUGGAUUUGUUACGGGGAGGAAGACGCGGUUGACAUCAGAGCCUAUAAACUAGUUACCCGCGCAGAGCUUCGUACGUGAUUCUAUCGUCCACAUGUCGGUGACUACGUAGAAGUAGACGUGUGCAUGGAAAUACGGCUGCAUGUGUUGCUUGCUUGAUGUCACACUUGUGUCAUGCUGACCUCAUGUGCGGCAAGAGGAUUAAAUAAAAGAAAAGAAGAGAUGUGGGCUACGGAAUACCUUGGGCUGGGUGGGAGGUGAUCUGGCCCAAGCGCAGGAUUGCUCCUCUUUUUUUUCUAUUUUAAAUUUCUUGUUUUAGUUUCCUUCACAUUUUCAGAUUCCUAUUUCAAAUUCAAAAUUGAUUCAACUUCAAUUUUGCCAGUACAAAAGCUAAUACUAAUGUGACCUCUACCAUUUUCAGUAUUAUUAUUUAUUUUUUUCCUUGUUGUUUAUUUAGGGAAGGAAUAAAUAGCUUCAUUAAAUUCCCCUUUCUUAUUUUAUAUUUAUAUCUUCGUUUAUACUUUGAGGUCAAAAUUAUGUGUUUAAUAAAGUACCUCCCACAAAGUCAUCAGUAAGAGAUGCACUUUUCAUUAUUUAUUUAUUGGUUGCUUAAUUAAUUUAGUACCAUUAAUUGAUUAUGAGAAGAAAAUAUCCAAAUGUAUUUUCCAAGGGAUUCAACAAUUCUCAAAACACUAUGAUAAAUAUAUUUGUUUAUUUAUUUAUUUAUUUAUUUUAUACCCAAUUUUAGGGCCUUACAAAUCCUACCACCUUAAAAAUAAUCUCGUCCUCGAGAUUUGUACGGACAUGGAUGUAAAAGAAAACUUUUUUAUAGUUUAGCUUUUAACUUCUAAGAAGUGUCAUGUUAUUUAGAAAGUGGUUAUGAAAGCAUGGGUAUAUAUAUGUAUGGUCACCUUAUUGUGUAGGAUGAAAGAUAGGUUAGGGCAAGCAUAGCCUAGGGUGAGAAGGUUUAUAGUGGGAAAGAAUUCUGUGUUGAGUGGUAAAGCAUUAGAAGAUUGAGUUUGACUUCUCUCCUUCCUUGACGAGGUUGAUCUUUUCUUCUCCAGUCUUGGUCUCCUUGAUUCGAGGUUAGUGUAUAUCAUCGGAGUUGGGGCAUAUGGUCGAAGUAGUUAUGGGUGAGAUGGACUACAUGUUGUAGGUCAAAAUCUUGUUUGAUGUUUGGUAGGCACAGAUAGAUUAUGCAAUCCAUCAUGACUCUAUUGGUUGGGUUAGAUCUAUUAGGAUGACAUAAAAUCUUUUCAAGAUAAGAUGAAUCCUCUAAGGUAAUAGAGUAUAUUUUUAAGAUAAGAUGGAUCUAUUAAGCUUACUAUAUUUUAGUGGGGGAUAAUCUAAGUUGCCUAGUUUUUGUAUCAACAUUUUUUUAUUUACUAUAUGUAUAUAUAGAUGUAAUUGUGGACAUUACUCCACAACUCAUCGCACUCAAUCAAAGAUCCAAAUCAGACAAGCAUCAUAAGAACAAACAUUCAAGUUCAUAGAUAUCUAUAUAACAGAAAAUAAUUUUGUUUUUGUUCCUAAGAGUAGGUCACCUAUUCCUAAAGUCACUUUAAGAACAGGAUUUCAAAGUGUGAAACCCACAUUUGUCUUUAGAAUGAAAAGGUAAGAAUAAUCAGAGUGAAGCGGAAUUAGAUGAGAAAAGAUUAAGAUGAGUUUAGAAAGAGUCAGAGUAGCAGAGGUAAGGUUAAUCAGAGUAGAACAGUAGAAGGUGAAACAGGAUCAAGAUAAGUAUAGAAAGAAUCAGAGUAAGGUAAGUAGACAAUGGUUGUCCAUUUCUAUCUAGGUUUCGUCCUACAGUCAACAUUCCUCUGAUACCACUUCUGUCACACCCGGAUUUUAGGGGUCCAAAACCCGGGCGCGAACAUAAUCACCAGGUGUGCUGGGACCAAGUCUCACACAUAUGAUGAAUCAUGGCACAGGAUCGAAUGUCACAUCUUUACUAUAUAAUAGGAGUUUUGUACAAAAUAAAUAAAUAAUUACAUUAUAAGGAGACAACGGUCCAGCAACCCAAAGUUGACUGGGAGACGACGGCCUAGACCUCUCACGAACACAUCGCAGCAUCCUCCAUGUGUCAUCCUACGGUACCUGUUCUUGACCUGUGGGGGGGGUGUGAGACAGCAAGAGUGAGCUCACAUACGUUCAUCGCUCAACAAGUUGUGGGGAAUAAAGUGCAUGAACUCGCCAAAGGUGGGAGCUCACGUGAAGUGUAAGGCUUACCAAAGAGGAUGGUUAGAGCUGAGCAUUGCUUUUAAAGUUGGUCAAAAUUUUAUUAGCAGUUACUAAGUAUAAGUAAAUACCAACCCAAUUAAGUAGUAGAGCAAAAGUAACAUCAUCACCUGCGAUGCAAUGCAUAUGACAAAUUGAAUUUAGUUCCAUAAAUUAAUCAUCAGAGAGUCCUGAGCUGCUCAUGACCGUGAGCUCGGCUAGUAUACCAGUUUUACACUCUGCAGAGGUGGUACCCUUUACCCACAAGUCAUGUUACCCGUCUGCCAAGGGAUCGCGACUUCCCAUACACCUCUACCGAGGAGGCGAGGCAGGGUAACACUACGAGGCC